UACGUAGGGAGCAAGCGUUGUCCGGAAUCAUUGGGCGUAAAGCGCGCGUAGGUGGCCUCAUAAGUCCGCUGUGAAAGUCAAAGGCUCAACCUUUGAAAGCCGGUGGAUACUGUGGGGCUAGAGUACGGAAGAGGCGAGUGGAAUUCCUGGUGUAGCGGUGAAAUGCGCAGAUAUCAGGAGGAACACCAAUAGCGAAGGCAGCUCGCUGGGACGUUACUGACACUGAGGCGCGAAAGCGUGGGGAGCGAACAGG
RNAcentral lists this ribosomal RNA (253 nucleotides) under uncultured bacterium. Its description in RNAcentral is "partial 16S ribosomal RNA". It matches the Rfam family "Bacterial small subunit ribosomal RNA", at positions 524 to 776 of the family's 1533-position model. The record is from RNAcentral.